UUGGUUAACGCCAUGUUAGACACAUCGGGUCUCUCCAAGGCAUGGUGGGGGGAGGCGAUAUUGAUGGCAUGUCAUGUCCUAAACCGAGUCCCCACAAAGAACAAAGAGAUCACUCCAUUCGAGGAAUGGGAGAAGAAAAGGUUAAAACUCUCUUAUCUGCGAACAUGGGGUUGUUUGGCGAAAGUCAAUAUUCCAAUUCCAAAGAAGCGGAAGCUUGGACCAAAGACUGUGGAUUGUAUUUUCCUGGAAUAUGCUUUUCAUAGCAUUGGCUAUAGAUUCUUGGUUGUAAAAUCUGAGGUACCUGACAUGCAUGUCGGUACGAUCAUGGAGUCGAAUGAUGCGACUUUCUUUGAAGAUAUCUUUCCCAUGAAGGAUAUGGCUACCUCGUCUAAUCAGGAGAUGCCUAGUUCAUCGAAUCAGGAACUAGUUACAAUUACCGAACCUACCAUUUCAAUGGAACACUUUGAAAAUUCUGUGGAGGAGAACAAUGAAGUUCCUACUAGGAGCAAGAGACAGAGGAUUGCAAAGUCCUUUGGUGAUGAUUUUCUUGUGUAUCUCAUAGAUGACACUCCCAGUUCUAUUUCAGAGGCCUAUGCAUCUGAAGAUGCUGACUACUGGAAGGAAGCGGUUCGUAGCGAGAUGGAUUCCAUCUUGGCGAAUGAAACUUGGGAGAUAACUGAUCGUCCUUAUGGGUGCAAACCUAUAGGAUGCAAAUGGGUAUUCAAGAAGAAGCUUAGGCCUGAUGGUACAAUUGAAAAGUACAAGGCUCGGCUCGUGGCUAAGGGUUAUACCCAAAAGGAAGGUGAAGACUUCUUUGAUACUUACUCACCUGUGGCUCGACUGACCACUAUUCGAGUUCUACUUUCACUAGCUGCCUCACAUGGUCUUCUCGUUCAUCAAAUGGAUGUUAAGACCGCUUUCCUAAAUGGAGAGUUGGACGAGGAAAUUUAUAUGGAACAACCAGAUGGGUUUGUACUAGAUGGUCAGGAAGGAAAAGUGUGCAAGUUGUUGAAGUCUUUGUAUGGACUCAAGCAAGCACCCAAACAGUGGCAUGAGAAGUUUGAAAGAACUUUAACCGAUGCAGGCUUCGUUGUAAACGAAGCUGAUAAAUGUGUGUACUAUCGCCAUGGUGGGGGCAAAGGAGUUAUUCUUUGCUUGUAUGUUGAUGACAUACUGAUUUUCGUAACAAAUCUGAAUGUUAUUAAGGAGGUCAAGGAUUUCCUAUCUCGUUGUUUUGAGAUGAAGGAUUUAGGAGUGGCUGAUGUCAUUUUGAACAUCAAGUUGUUGAGAGACGAUGAUGCCAGUGCUACAAGACCUGACAUCUCUUUUGCUGUUAGCAAACUGAGUUGGUUUGUCUCAAAACCAGGAGAUGUGCAUUGGAAAGCUCUAGAGAGAGUUUUGCGUUAUUUGAAAGGCACUGCGAAUUAUGGAAUUCACUACACUGGGCACCCAAAGGUGCUUGAAGGGUAUAGUGACUCAAACUGGAUCUCAGAUGCUGAUGAGAUAAAGGAAGCAGAACUCACAGCACUAGAUACAGCUACGGUCGAAGCAGAUUGGCUUCGUCGGCUCUUGAAUGACUUGCCGGUUGUUGAGAAACCUGUACCGGGUAUCCUUAUGAACUGCGACAAUCAAACUGUGAUCACGAAAGUGAGCAGCUCAAAGGAUAACAUGAAGUCAUCAAGACACGUUCAGAGAAGGUUAAAUUCUGUCAGGAAAAUGAGAAACUCCGGAGUUAUUGCAUUGGAUUAUAUCCAAACGUCUAAAAAUCUGGCAGAUCCUUUUACUAAGGGUCUAUCACGUAAUGUGAUAGAUAAUGCAUCAAGGGAGAUGGGUAUGAGACCCACA
This 1845-nucleotide ribosomal RNA is filed under the name Triticum aestivum (bread wheat). Its description in RNAcentral is "partial small subunit ribosomal RNA". Lineage: Eukaryota; Viridiplantae; Streptophyta; Magnoliopsida; Poales; Poaceae. The record is from RNAcentral.